RNAcentral lists this ribosomal RNA (446 nucleotides) under uncultured bacterium. RNAcentral's name for it is "partial 16S ribosomal RNA". It matches the Rfam family "Bacterial small subunit ribosomal RNA", at positions 338 to 795 of the family's 1533-position model. The record is from RNAcentral.
CCUACGGGAGGCAGCAGUCGAGAAUCAUUCACAAUGGGGGAAACCCUGAUGGUGCGACGCCGCGUGGGGGAAUGAAGGUCUUCGGAUUGUAAACCCCUUUCAUGUGGGAGCAAAUUAAAAAGAUAGUACCACAAGAGGAAGAGACGGCUAACUCUGUGCCAGCAGCCGCGGUAAUACAGAGGUCUCAAGCGGUGUUCGGAUUCACUGGGGGUAAAGGGUGCGGAGGCGGUUUCGUAAGUCGGGUGUGAAAGGCGGGGGCUCAACCCGGGGACGGCAAAUGUGACUGUGAGACUAGAGUACAGGAGGGGGAAGCGGAAUUCUCGGUGUAGCAGUGAAAUGCGUAGAUAUCGAGAGGAACACUCGUGGCGAAGGCGGGUUCCUGGACAUUAACUGACGCUGAGGCACGAAGGCGAGGGGAGCGAAAGGGAUUAGAUACCCGUGUAGUC